UUGUCAGGCAAGAGACUGCAGCUUCUCUUUCUGUAUAUUCUGUUCUGGUCAAAGUAUCUGCUCCUUCAGGUUCUGUGGCCAACUUGAGACAGUAGCAUUUCAAGAAUGUCUUGGAUGAUGGAAGGGAAAGUCAGGUUAGGUGAUGAGGGAAGGGGGAAGAAGGUUAUGUAAACUUAGCUGAGGUCAUUAUCCCCUCAAAAUAAAAUGUGGUCACAGAUCACUCUCCACAGAUUUACUCAUGAUCUUCCAUUGCUCAGGCCUCUCUACUGCUUUUAACUCCACUUUGUCUCAGCAUCUCGUUGCCAGCCCUUUGAGAAAGAUGGAAAUUUCCACAUGGAAGCCAAAGGGAUGACUGAGUCCCAAGGAUGGAGAGAAGAAGACACAAGGAAAUUUCCCUCACAAAAGCUAUGACAGAAUGAGACUGGGAGUUCCCUGAAACUCGGAGGCAGUGGGGUCGCUGUCAGGGAAAGGAAACUAGACCUGGGAUUGGAAGUGCUGAGUUGGAAUCUAUGUAACUGUGGACAAACCACGUAACAUCCUAGUGCUACAGUUUCCUCCUCUGUAAAGAUCCUGAUGGAGUCAGCCAGCCCAGGACUUUGAAUCAUGGGGAUAGUAAUGCUUUUAGCAUCAUCCUAGGAAACAAGCCGUACAGAGAUGCCGCUGGGGAACUCCUGUAAGUGCUACAGCUACAGCUACUGAAAACUCAGAAAAGAAAGUUCCUGUCGCCACAGUCCUUGAUCCUGUCAAAUGGUUCAGCAUCAGAAACUGAUAUGAUCUUAUCAGUGGAAAUGACAUUAAAGAAGAGGCAUCACCAUUUGCUUUGUCUCUGCACCCUAAGGUUCAUGAGACUUUUCCAUCUAACUUGCCCCUGAAACCUUCCAUAUGUGUUAUCUUCCUCUUUAGAAUGGGAGCUCCCUGAGAGCGAGGGUUGUCUUCUAUUUGUAU
Molecule: non-coding RNA, 945 nt
Organism: Phascolarctos cinereus (koala)
Lineage: Eukaryota; Metazoa; Chordata; Mammalia; Diprotodontia; Phascolarctidae
Source: RefSeq, a predicted model, not a curated record